GAAGUCUCCAUGCGUAUCAAAGUAAUCAAAGACAGAAAGACCAAGCCGGUUGGGGAAUGAGAAUUGGUGGCCUGGCAGGUGGACAGUCAGAUCGCUUGGGUUGAUGCUGAAAGUGAUCUCUAUUGGGGCUCCCUUCUGGAAAGGGAAGACCGUCUCCCUUUGCUCGGUACCCCACUCUUCCAUUUUCUUUGAGUUGCACACAAUGAGGUUCACAUCACCGUGAGCAUCAAAGCGGGGGUUGAAGUGAAGCCCCAGGUGGGUUGAGUCCUUGCCCAGAUUCAUCACAAAGCUUUUGGCAUUCGGUGCGAUUAUCCCCUUGACAGUGAGGCGCUGGCCAGGCUUGAGACCCAAGUUGGUGCACACUGGUCCCUGC
RNAcentral lists this long non-coding RNA (373 nucleotides) under Gallus gallus (chicken). Lineage: Eukaryota; Metazoa; Chordata; Aves; Galliformes; Phasianidae. The record is from RNAcentral.